Molecule: ribosomal RNA, 463 nt
Filed under: uncultured bacterium
Lineage: Bacteria
Description: bacterial SSU rRNA
Rfam family: Bacterial small subunit ribosomal RNA
Source: RNAcentral
UUACACAUAGCAAGUCGAACGGCGAGCACGGGGCGAACCUGGUGCGAGUAGGCGAACGGGUGAGUAAUGCAUCGGAACGUGCCAUUGAGUGGGGGUAACGUAGCGAAAGUUACGCUAAUACCGCAUAUUCUGUGAGCAGGAAAGCAGGGGAUCGCAAGACCUUGCGCUCUUUGAGCGGCCGAUGUCAGAUUAGCUAGUUGGUGAGGUAACGGCUUACCAAGGCGACGAUCUGUAGCGGGGUCUGAGAGGAUGAUCCGCCACACUGGAACUGAGACACGGUCCAGACUCCUACGGGAGGCAGCAGUGGGGAAUUUUGGACAAUGGGGCAACCCUGAUCCAGCCAUGCCGCGUGAGUGAAGAAGGCCUUCGGGUUGUAAAGCUCUUUCGGCCGGGAAGAAAUCGCAUGGGUUAAUACCCUGUGUGGAUGACGGUACCGGCAUAAGAAGCACCGGCUAACUACGUG